Molecule: non-coding RNA, 21 nt
Organism: Caenorhabditis elegans
Lineage: Eukaryota; Metazoa; Nematoda; Chromadorea; Rhabditida; Rhabditidae
Source: Ensembl
UGUUGAUCUCUCUUUUUAAAU